UACAGAGAUGGCAAGCGUUGUUCGGAAUCACUGGGCUUAAAGCGCGUGUAGGCGGAGCGAUGGGUGCCUUGUGAAAUCCCCCGGCUCAACCGGGGAAUGGCUUGGCAAACCGGCGCUCUUGAGGCAGGUAGAGGUGGCCGGAACCAUUGGUGGAGCGGUGAAAUGCGUAGAGAUCAAUGGGAACGCCGGUGGCGAAAGCGGGUCACUGGGCCUGUUCUGACGCUGAGACGCGAAAGCGUGGGUAGCAAACAGG
RNAcentral lists this ribosomal RNA (253 nucleotides) under uncultured bacterium. Its description in RNAcentral is "partial 16S ribosomal RNA". It matches the Rfam family "Bacterial small subunit ribosomal RNA", at positions 524 to 776 of the family's 1533-position model. The record is from RNAcentral.